RNAcentral lists this ribosomal RNA (253 nucleotides) under uncultured bacterium. Its description in RNAcentral is "partial 16S ribosomal RNA". It matches the Rfam family "Bacterial small subunit ribosomal RNA", at positions 524 to 776 of the family's 1533-position model. The record is from RNAcentral.
UACGUAGGGGGCAAGCGUUGUCCGGAUUUAUUGGGCGUAAAGAGCGUGUAGGCGGCUUGGUAGGUCCGCUGUGAAAACUCGAGGCUCAACCUCGAGAUGUCGGCGGAAACCACUUGGCUAGAGUCCGGAAGAGGAGAGUGGAAUUCCUGGUGUAGCGGUGAAAUGCGCAGAUAUCAGGAAGAACACCUAUGGCGAAGGCAGCUCUCUGGGACAGUACUGACGCUGAGACGCGAAAGCGUGGGGAGCGAACAGG